Xiphophorus couchianus (Monterrey platyfish) is the source of this 1027-nucleotide long non-coding RNA. RefSeq lists it as uncharacterized. The record is from RefSeq and is a predicted model, not a curated record. The transcript is spliced from 6 exons. NCBI's taxonomy places the organism in Eukaryota, Metazoa, Chordata, Actinopteri, Cyprinodontiformes, Poeciliidae.
CUUUUGAAACCACUCAUGCCGCUCGGUGUGACCCAGUGCAGUUAUUUUUCGUGCGCCGCCGUGAUGUUCAACGUUCAUAAAUGUUCCUGUCGCCCCUGCUCUUCGUCGUUACCGCAGCUUUAAUGGCUUUUCUGGAACAGUGACACAUUUUGACUUUACACGGACGUCAGACGUUUUGGGUUGUUUUACAGCGACAGCUAACAAACCUCAGGCUUUAAUUUAGGAAGACGUCGAGGCAAUACCCAGGUAGACACUAGCGAAAGCACUCCACGCCAAAGCAAUACCCACAUGGCUGGUCACAGUAAAUUCUGGUUGUUUUUAUUCAGCACUGUGCCACCUUUUAACUUCAGAUGACUGUUGAGAAAACCUGCAUCCACAAUGGGACCACAUACAAAGUGGGAGAGACAUGGGUGACCCGGAUGACCGCUGCAUGUCCUUCAUCUGCAUCAGAGUGAACCAAGAGUCUGUCCUUCAGAUAUUUGUCCUGAGGGUAACACGACUUGGGACGACCAAGACUGCUGCUCCACCUCUUAAACUUUUAAAAAAUCUUUUCUAAGGCAACCAGACCUGCGAGCCCAAACUGUCCAAAAUGAACGUCACCAUUGAUGACUGCUCCGCCGUCAUCGAAUUACCCGUGUGUGAGGGCCGAUGUCUGUCGGAACCCUGGUUGAGGAGAAACCAAACUUUGGACUGCUCGAAAACAUCCGGCGCGCCAACAUUUCCCUCCAUUUUCUUCCCUCUCCAACAGGGUGUCGGCAGACGCGUACCUGCAGGUCAAACAGGACUUCCGGUGCUGCCGGGAGGAGAGUUCAGACCUCCGAGUUCUGGAUGUGAGAUGCUCGGACCUCACUAGCAGAAAAUAUAACUACAAGCACGUGACCGGCUGCGCGUGCAAAGCUUGUGGUUCCCACUGAAGAGCGACGCCAAUCCACGUCGUCACACAUUUCUAAUAUGAUUCUCUUGUGCUCGAAUUUAACGGAGGAUUUUAUGACGUGUUUACUGAAAUUAAUGUAUUUACCAUCAAUUU